Molecule: ribosomal RNA, 423 nt
Filed under: Staphylococcus aureus
Lineage: Bacteria; Bacillati; Bacillota; Bacilli; Caryophanales; Staphylococcaceae
Description: bacterial SSU rRNA
Rfam family: Bacterial small subunit ribosomal RNA
Source: RNAcentral
CUUAGUUGCCAUCAUUAAGUUGGGCACUCUAAGUUGACUGCCGGUGACAAACCGGAGGAAGGUGGGGAUGACGUCAAAUCAUCAUGCCCCUUAUGAUUUGGGCUACACACGUGCUACAAUGGACAAUACAAAGGGCAGCGAAACCGUGAGGUCAAGCAAAUCCCAUAAAGUUGUUCUCAGUUCGGAUUGUAGUCUGCAACUCGACUACAUGAAGCUGGAAUCGCUAGUAAUCGUAGAUCAGCAUGCUACGGUGAAUACGUUCCCGGGUCUUGUACACACCGCCCGUCACACCACGAGAGUUUGUAACACCCGAAGCCGGUGGAGUAACCUUUUAGGAGCUAGCCGUCGAAGGUGGGACAAAUGAUUGGGGUGAAGUCGUAACAAGGUAGCCGUAUCGGAAGGUGCGGCUGGAUCACCUCCUUU